Molecule: ribosomal RNA, 450 nt
Filed under: uncultured bacterium
Lineage: Bacteria
Description: partial 16S ribosomal RNA
Rfam family: Bacterial small subunit ribosomal RNA
Source: RNAcentral
GUGGGGAAUAUUGGACAAUGGGCGCAAGCCUGAUCCAGCCAUACCGCGUGGGUGAAGAAGGCCUUCGGGUUGUAAAGCCCUUUUGUUGGGAAAGAAAUCCUGUCGAUUAAUACUCGGUGGGGAUGACGGUACCCAAAGAAUAAGCACCGGCUAACUUCGUGCCAGCAGCCGCGGUAAUACGAAGGGUGCAAGCGUUACUCGGAAUUACUGGGCGUAAAGCGUGCGUAGGUGGUUGUUUAAGUCUGCUGUGAAAGCCCUGGGCUCAACCUGGGAAUUGCAGUGGAUACUGGGCAACUAGAGUGUGGUAGAGGGAUGCGGAAUUUCUGGUGUAGCAGUGAAAUGCGUAGAGAUCAGAAGGAACAUCCGUGGCGAAGGCGGCAUCCUGGGCCAACACUGACACUGAGGCACGAAAGCGUGGGGAGCAAACAGGAUUAGAUACCCUUGUAGUCC